RNAcentral lists this ribosomal RNA (1494 nucleotides) under uncultured bacterium. RNAcentral's name for it is "bacterial SSU rRNA". It matches the Rfam family "Bacterial small subunit ribosomal RNA". The record is from RNAcentral.
CUUGAGAGUUUGAUCCUGGCUCAGAACGAACGCUGGCGGUAGGCCUUAGACAUGCAAGUCGAACGAGAAAUAUACUUCGGUAUAGAGUACAGUGGCGGACGGGUGAGUAACGCGUAGGGAGUUACCCAGUAGUGGGGAAUAACCAUUGGAAACGAUGGCUAAUACCGCAUACGCCCUUCGGGGGAAAGAUUUAUUGCUAUUGGAAACGCCUGCGUUAGAUUAGCUAGUUGGUAGGGUAAGAGCCUACCAAGGCAACGAUCUAUAGCUGGUUUGAGAGGAUGAUCAGCCACACCGGAACUGAGACACGGUCCGGACUCCUACGGGAGGCAGCAGUCGGGAAUAUUGUACAAUGGGGGGAACCCUGAUACAGCCAUACCGCGUGAGUGAUGAAGGCCCUUGGGUUGUAAAGCUCUUUCACUAAUGAGGAUGAUGACGUUAAUUAGAGAAGAAGUCCCGGCUAACUUCGUGCCAGCAGCCGCGGUAAUACGAAGGGGACUAGCGUUGUUCGGAUUUACUGGGCGUAAAGCGUGCGUAGGCGGUCUUUUUAGUUAGGUGUGAAAUCCCAGGGCUCAACCUUGGAACUGCACUUAAUACUGGAAGACUAGAAUUUUGGAGAGGAUAGUGGAAUUUACAGUGUAGAGGUAAAAUUCGUAGAUAUUGUAAGGAACACCGAUGGCGAAGGCAGCUAUCUGGACAAAUAUUGACGCUGAGGCACGAAAGCGUGGGGAGCAAACAGGAUUAGAUACCCUGGUAGUCCACGCCGUAAACGAUGAGUGCUAGCUGGCAGGUAGCAAGCUAUUUGCUGGCGUCGCUAACGCAUUAAGCACUCCGCCUGGGGAGUACGGUCGCAAGAUUAAAACUCAAAGGAAUUGACGGGGACCCGCACAAGCAGUGGAGCAUGUGGUUUAAUUCGACGCAACGCGCAGAACCUUACCUACCCUUGACAUCCCAAUCGCGAAAAUCAGAGACGAUUUUCUUCAGUUCGGCUGGAUUGGUGACAGGUGCUGCAUGGCUGUCGUCAGCUCGUGUCGUGAGAUGUUUGGUUAAGUCCAGCAACGAGCGCAACCCACGCCAUUAUUUGCCAUCAUUUAGUUGGGAACUCUAAUGGAACUGCCAGUGAUAAGCUGGAGGAAGGUGUGGAUGACGUCAAGUCCUCAUGGCCCUUACGGGUAGGGCUACACACGUGCUACAAUGGCAACGACAGAGGGCAGCAACACGGCGACGUGAAGCUAAUCCCUAAAAGUUGUCUCAGUUCGGAUUGUUCUCUGCAACUCGAGAGCAUGAAGUUGGAAUUGCUAGUAAUCGUAGAUCAGCAUGCUACGGUGAAUACGUUCCCGGGUCUUGUACACACCGCCCGUCACACCAUGGGAGUUGGUUUUACCCGAAGGUACCAGGCUAACCGCAAGGAGGCAGGUAACCACGGUAAGAUUAAUGACUGGGGUGAAGUCGUAACAAGGUAGCCGUAGGGGAACCUGCGGCUGGAUCACCUCCUUU